This 442-nucleotide ribosomal RNA is filed under the name uncultured bacterium. RNAcentral's name for it is "bacterial SSU rRNA". It matches the Rfam family "Bacterial small subunit ribosomal RNA", at positions 340 to 773 of the family's 1533-position model. The record is from RNAcentral.
UACGGAAGGCAGCAGUGGGGAAUAUUGCACAAUGGGCGCAAGCCUGAUGCAGCCAUGCCGCGUGUAUGAAGAAGGCCUUCGGGUUGUAAAGUACUUUCAGUCGCGAGGAAGGUGUUAAGGUUAAUAACCUUAGCAAUUGACGUUAGCGACAGAAGAAGCACCGGCUAACUCCGUGCCAGCAGCCGCGGUAAUACGGAGGGUGCGAGCGUUAAUCGGAAUUACUGGGCGUAAAGGGCACGCAGGCGGUUAAUUAAGUUGGAUGUGAAAUCCCCGGGCUUAACCUGGGAAUGGCAUUCAAGACUGGUUAGCUAGAGUCUUGUAGAGGGGGUUAGAAUUCCAUGUGUAGCGGUGAAAUGCGUAGAGAUGUGGAGGAAUACCGGUGGCGAAGGCGGCCCCUGGGACAAAGGACUGACGCUCAUGUGCGAAAGCGUGGGGAGCAAAC